Molecule: small nucleolar RNA, 86 nt
Filed under: Metschnikowia bicuspidata var. bicuspidata NRRL YB-4993
Lineage: Eukaryota; Fungi; Ascomycota; Pichiomycetes; Serinales; Metschnikowiaceae
Source: RNAcentral
AUAUGAUGAUUUUCAAGAUGACGAGUCUGAAUCGGGUUUCCCGUAGAUGACAACCAUUUUUUUAUACCAUUCAUGCCUUUCUGAAU